AAAGGGUAUGCAUAUAAAUGUCGAUGCAAGGGUUGCCUUACGGCACCUGUCGUGUAUCGAACUCAAAUCAGGCGGCACAAUUCGCAAGCCUAUUGCGUUCCGUUUCCCCCCUUCUCUCUACACCGGCUCCUACAGGUUUUUCUGACAUCCUCUGGCAAUCCAAGCGCUUAUUGAGCGUAAGAGACGAAGUGGACAAAAUUUCCCAAAAAAAAAGAGACGAAGUGGAUUGGUGAGAAGUAGCGCCUUUUAGAAACUUGGGCUUUAGGGUUCGGAAGAUGGCGAGCUGCGGUGGAAGCGGUUACCGGGGAGGGAAGGUGGUUGGAGACUACAUGUUCGGCCGUCAGAUCGGUUCGGGAUCCUUCUCGGUGGUGUGGUUGGCAAGGCACCGCGUGCACGGAGUGGAGGUGGCGGUUAAGGAGAUCGUGAUGGAGAAGCUCACCAAGAAGCUCCAGGAAAGCCUUCUCUCAGAGAUUGCAAUUCUGAAGCGCAUCAAGCAUCCCAAUAUUAUCGCAAUGCACGAUAUCAUCGAGGCCUCUGGGAGAAUUUAUCUCAUAUUAGAAUACUGCAGAGGUGGCGACCUAUCCCUGUAUAUACGACGGCAUGGAAGAGUUUCAGAAGCUACUGCAAAGCACUUUAUGCAACAACUAGCUAAUGGCUUGCAAGUUCUCCGCGACAACAAUCUAAUUCAUCGUGAUCUAAAGCCACAGAAUCUCCUUUUGUCAGCAAUGGAUGACAAUUCGGUGCUGAAAAUUGCAGAUUUUGGUUUUGCAAGGUCCUUGCAGCCACUUGGCUUAGCUGAAACUUUAUGCGGCUCCCCUCUUUACAUGGCUCCAGAAAUAAUGCAGCUUCAGAAAUAUGAUGCCAAGGCAGAUCUCUGGAGUGUUGGUGCGAUCUUAUUUCAGCUUGUCACUGGCAAAACUCCUUUCACCGGAAACAAUCAAAUACAGUUAUUGCAAAAUAUAGUGAAAUCAAAUGAUCUACGCUUCCCCUCAGAAAGCAAUUUGAGUCACCAUUGCAUUGAUUUGUGCAAAAAGUUAUUACGUCGCAAUCCAGUGGAGCGCUUAACUUUUGAGGAGUUUUUCAACCACCAAUUUCUCUCACAAUCCAAAGCAGAUGAACCGUUGAGUGGAACCUCAUGUGUUAGAACAGUUGAACGCACGUCUAGACAGACACUGGGUUAUCAAGAAGACUGCAUGCCUUUUCCUCUAGAAGAUAAAGAUGGUGGACCUGAUCAAAGCCUGACGGCACGAAUGAAUAGUUCUGUUAGGUCCACUUAUGGUUUUCAUGUGGGAGCAGAUAAAGACUCGUUUAAUAAGCCUUCAAUGAAUUUGGGUGUUCUUUCCAAGCAUAGCUUCCCAAAUAAAAUGGAAACAUCUGGUUAUUAUGAGCAUGAUUCUUACAGACAUUUGAGUGGAAAUAUGAAGCAAAUCAAUGCUUCUUCAAAAGGCACCAAACAUGAUCACAGAUUUAUGGAUUCAUUAGAUUUGGUUGAUCAGGAAUAUGUCAUGGUUCCUGAACCAUCCCUGGAGAUGCCAUCCUAUUCAUUAAGCUUUCCAGAGUCGCAAAACUCACCAUAUAAACUAGAUAGCUCGCUGAUGGAAACUAAAAAAAAUAGUGGAUUAAGUGUACCAGUGCCAAUUGUAAGUGCUGCAAUCACUAAGAUCAAUACCAUUGGAAGCCUGGAAAGUCACAGCUCACCAAUUUCUGGUACGUCUCAAGGAUCCUUGGAUGUUGGGGAUACUUUUGAACAGCCAUCAGUUCACUACGUUACAAGAAUUAGAUCAUUGCAACAAUGUGGCUCUGUUAUAUCUGAGUUGGUGAAGGGAGAGAGUGAAAAUGGGAGACAAUUGGAGGCAUUCUCUGUUCAGUUAGUACUUCUAGCAAUCUGGAAGCAAGCUCUGAACAUCUGUCACAGGCAAGCUACUUUUUCUAUAGAAGGUUGCCCUUCUCAUGAGUUUAAAUACCAAGAAAACAUAAAUGCUUCUCCUAGUGCUAGACACUGCUUUAGAAGCAGUGAGUCUGAAGUGACGGAUCUUGUUUCUUCCGAAAUUGAGAAAGAAUUUCUUCUUUCAGUGGAGCAUGCUGAGGAACUUGAAAAGGCCAUGGGACAAGUAGAUGAAGCUACAGAGAUGCCUGAUGCGAUUGAGAUAAUUUACCAAAAUGCAUUGGCUUUGGGAAGACUUGGUGCUGUUGAUGAGAUGAUGAAAAAUAUAGAAAGAGCAGAGGAUCGCUACUCAAAAGCGGUGUGUUUACUACACUUCCUUCUGGUGGAAGCACCAUCCCUCGCUCUCAACCCGCCACUCUCCUUGACAAGCUCUGAUCAACUCCGCCUCCGGACUUACAUUGAUAUCAUUAGCAAUAGACACUGCCAGUCCCGCUCACAAAGAAUAGCCCUCCUCAAUGAACGCUAGCCAGUUAAUUCAUUUUUCGACCACCCUUCAAAGAAAAAAAAAAGUACAGUGAUUAUUUGACCAGUGGCUUUGUGUUCUGGUGCGAUUUGUUGUUUGUAGAUGGCAAUAGUUUGGUGGUUCAAAUGUUCAGCAACUUUAGGAUAAAUUGCCUUGAUUGUGAUAUAAAAAUAUGUAAGAAAGAAAGAAAUGUAUGUUGAAUAAAGAUAGACGCUAAAAAAAUUUAUGUGUUCGUCUGUCUACUGCAUGGAAGCAUGGGGUAUUAAGCUCUUUACACCAUUCGAAUUACAGCCUCAAAUACUUUUUGAAUCUGUGCCUAUUAUUGUGAUAAAAAGG
This is an RNA transcript of Dendrobium catenatum, 2744 nucleotides long. It is a transcript of the gene named serine/threonine-protein kinase ATG1c-like, with no coding region annotated. The transcript is spliced from 14 exons. The record is from RefSeq and is a predicted model, not a curated record. NCBI's taxonomy places the organism in Eukaryota, Viridiplantae, Streptophyta, Magnoliopsida, Asparagales, Orchidaceae.